Molecule: small RNA, 108 nt
Filed under: Sagittula stellata
Lineage: Bacteria; Pseudomonadati; Pseudomonadota; Alphaproteobacteria; Rhodobacterales; Roseobacteraceae
Also listed under: 1 other name
Description: Guanidine-I sequence
Rfam family: Guanidine-I riboswitch aptamer
About the family: This family represents a conserved RNA structure found upstream of the ykkC and yxkD genes in Bacillus subtilis and related genes in other bacteria.
Source: RNAcentral
GGGCAGGGCGUUUAGGGUUCCACCGCCAUACGGCGGGUUCGGUCCGAGAAAUGCCACCCGGCGGGCAAACUCCCGCAGGGCACACGGCGGGGCAAAAUCCCGGGAGAC